Molecule: long non-coding RNA, 2534 nt
Filed under: Anneissia japonica
Lineage: Eukaryota; Metazoa; Echinodermata; Crinoidea; Comatulida; Comatulidae
Description: uncharacterized LOC117115402
Source: RNAcentral
GUCUGAAUGAAUUGUCUCGGAUGGGAUUUCAAUAUAGGCAUAAAAUCAAUGUGUAUAUUUCUUAAUGUUUGUACAGCUGAUCCAUGUGUGUGCACUGUUGGAGUAAUUAACCAAAUGCUGGCCUCAAUCAAUAUAAUAGCUACACUGCAUAUGUCGUCAUCACGAAGUGCUACUCUGGCCAUUAUGUAUAGGACAACGGCGAUUGGAUGCAGGUGAUGCAGUUGCUCUGGGGAGCAUUUGAUAACAUACUGCAACAGUUCAUCAGCGGCCCAUGCCUUAUAGCUCAUAUCAGAUAUUUCAUCUGUACAUAUUUCUAUAUUAAUAAGCCUAUAAAUAUAAUCUUGAUUACACUUAACUUCGUGGAGAAUAGGUUUAAACUUUGUAAUUGCCUCUUUUAAUGCUUUAUAGUUACCCAUCAAAUAAUAGAAUUUUACUACAAGAGCUUGGCCUCCUAUGCCUUUGUCGUGCCAAUUGUCCACAUAGACCAUUUCAGCUCCUAGUUUAUAGUAAUCUAACGCUUUAUUUUUGUAGGUAACCAGAUCAUCAUCAGAACAUUUGUUUCGUAAGCACACUAAUAAAGAAGUAAUCGUAACACCUAAACAUCUAUAUAAACGUGUCUUGAACAUUCCUUCAUACCUUUUGAGCACUAUUUCAUUGAUAUUCUCAAUAAUUGGCAACAUGAUUAUUUCUGGAAGCCUUAAAAUUGUUGAGGGAUUAUCAUUAGAUUGUAUACAUCUCUGGAGAAUCCAAUACAGGGCUGUAUAGUCCCUGUCUUAUAUAUUGUUUAAUACAAUAUGCCAAGAAGUUUGGAUUACAUCUUCUGGUUUGAAUCUUGAGAACCACUGGUUUAAGCACCUCUUUAGCCAUUGGAUGUUUCAAGAGAUUGGACUCUAGUGCAGCAUAGUCAUCAAAUUGAUUAACUCUAGGAAUAUUCAAGACAUCACAUAGAUCUUCAUUGAUAAUAUAUCUACCACCUUCCGUACUGGCCAUCACCAUAUUCCAAAGAUCCGUUCCGUUUCAGCGAUCAUUUAGCUUUAACUUCAUAUCGACGUUAUUAAGGAAUAAUUUUGUAACCUAAUUGCAUCACUUAAAACAUUUGAAUUCUUUUUUUUUGUUUUUGGAAUUAAUAUAUAUAUAUUAUAAAAAUGUUUUGCCCUUGAGUUACUGUAUAACAUCAGCUUUCAUUAUGUUUUUAGUGAUUAUUAGUGGAAGGAGGUGAAUUUGUUUUCAAUAUUUUAUCAACUUUCAUAGACGAUCAAUGUGCUCAUGAUGAUAAUGGCAAGACUUGUUGUAAUAAUGAUAAUUGUGAUGAUUCAUGAAGAUGAUGAUAGCAUGUAUAAUAACGAUGGUGAAGAUAGUGAUAAUGACGAUGAUGGUGAUGACAGUGUAAUGCUGGGGCUAUGAUGAGAAUUGUGAUGAUAAUGAUGGUUGAAACGCUGAAUAUGAUUAUGGCAUGAUGAUAUGUUAGGGAAUGAUUGUAAUAAAAUAAUAAUGAUUUCAAAUUUAAUAGAAUUCGUGUCAUGCUGCCGAUAAGGGUGAUGACAAUACGUUUUUGAUAAUGAUGAUAAUGAUCAUGAUCAUGAUAUUAGGAAGCUUUUGAUUUGUGCGAUGACGCGGCGCUAGAACGGAAUCACUCAUGCGUGACCGUCCUACCUGGCGUCCUACGUUCUGUGCAUACGUAGAUUUGGCUAAAUUGCGUUCCAGAAUGUACUUGACGAGGUAACAUUCUCGCAUGCACAGAUGACUUUCAGUGACGCCAUUACCUUUUGCGUCCUACCGUCGUCGUGCAAUCGAAAGCUCCCUAAUGGUGGGGCCAUGACGGGGAUUGUGGUAAUAAUGAUCAUUCAGAUGCAGAAUAUGAUGGUAGCAUGACAAUAUUUUCUAGGCAUAAUUGUAAUAAUAUACAUAAUUUCAAAUUUAAUAGAAUUGAUGUGAUGGUUGCAUGGCAAUAUGCUUAGGAAUGAUUGUAAUAAUAUAAUAAUGAUUUAAAGUUCUGAACUACUAAAUCCAUAGGGUAUGAUCAGAUUGCAUGGAGUAGCAAUUUAAGCUUCCUUAAAAUGUAAGGCAGGUCGUCUUUUUCCACAAUUGUACAUUGAGAUUUUCAUAAUCCUGUUUACAAGCUUCUCAGUGAUAUUAAUAUCUCCAAAAACUCAUUUACCUUUCAAAAGCUUGUCAGUUUUGGUGUAGAUAACAAUUUAGCGGAUUUAGUUAAUCUUCAAUAGCGUAAUGGAAUUUUCAACUAUAAUCGAGAAUUUCAGGGUUAUUCAGGAAACAAGAACGAUUCUAUAAUUUACCAGACAGAUAUAAAAACAAACAUGUAGUUAACCAGAUGUCUGCACAAAACAAUACCUUUUGAAGCUCAUAAAGAGACUUGGUUAUAGACCUUCGAGGGUCUCAAAUGAUUAGGUGGCUGGAUGUGAAUUACCCUCAUUAAGAAUAUUGUAAAAAAGUGAGAUCAAUGAUUUCCUAACUGUAAAUGGCAUGCAUGCUAUUAUGAAUACAUUAAGAUUCAAUAAAUUCAAUAUGAUUCAUUA